Molecule: long non-coding RNA, 1192 nt
Organism: Armigeres subalbatus
Lineage: Eukaryota; Metazoa; Arthropoda; Insecta; Diptera; Culicidae
Exons: 3
Source: RefSeq, a predicted model, not a curated record
CAAUAUUCUACCGUGAGUUUAUUAAAAUCAAGUGAAAUUUUGGCGUAAGUGGAAUUUUCUUUAGCGGCUAAUGCUUUUGUUGCAACACUCAUUUCACCCCUAUACACUUUGGGAGCACGGAAGGAACGCGGUGAAACGGAACAGUGACAUUGACACACCGAUACAUCUAUCGAAAGCUUCCAUUUUGCCCAGGCAGCAACCGUUGUGUGUGUGCCACAGCCAAAAAUCUGAGAUCAGAGCAUUCACCGAUACCAGUUUAAAAAUGCAUCGAAGUGCAUAGUGCGAUCGAAGAGCCAUCAUUUUUUGUUUUGGUGGUAGUUACGAUUGUAAAGUGAAGACUAGUGCAACUCCGGUGCAUCGGAUACGACAAAAAAAGCUGUAAUUACGUUUUUGGUUUGUUGCUGGUGCUAUAAUUUCGGUGUUGCUGCUGCUGUUAAGCUAGACGCUUUUGUUCCGGUGUUGCUGCUGCUGUUGAGUUCGGUGCUUCCUUUCGGGUGCUGCUGUUGUUGCUAUUUGGUGCAUUUGUUGCUGUUGUUGCUGCGGAGAGAAAUAGGAUCGAUCUAGAAUUGAAGAGACUGGAAGGAUAAGUCGAGUUUGUACUCCACCAGACUGCCUCGGUUAAGUAGUUCUCAAGCAGAUUUCCCUGGGUGGCAGAAUCGUUUUGGCGCAUAAGCGUCAGUUGAAAUUAGCGCAAUCGCAGCAUUAUCGCCGAAAUAAGCGCUAUUUCGUCCGUGAGGAUGCCUCUUCAACAAAAAGUGGUAAAGGCAGUACUAGCAAAAGAAGAAGAGAUGAUGGUUCGGAUCGAGGUUCCGAUGAGGAGGAUGAAUUUUACGGAUUUCCUGCUGAAUCAUUUAUCUAUGCUGAACAUUUACAAAAUCUCCCAGAAGAAUUGCAUGAAGUUCCAUCAAACAUAGAAGUGAGAAAACGUUCGAAGAGAAUUGCAAAGAAACGUAGAAAAGAAGGAUUUGUUUAUUACAAUUAGAAUAUAUUUAAAUAAUGAACUAGAUAUAAGAAGAAAACCUUUAGUGUGAUUUCAAAAUAUAAUUUUGAGUUCUGAACUUAAAUUCAAUUUAAUACAAAAAUACAUAUAAAUUCAUUCGAAUAUUCAACUACUUCAGGGUGAAGGAUUGUAGCGACCACUCGAAUGUUGAAAGUAUAAAUAUGAGAGAAAGAGCAUAGUGAGAAGUACAGA